UACGAAGGGGGCUAGCGUUGUUCGGAAUUACUGGGCGUAAAGCGUGCGCAGGCGGCUUCUCAAGUCAGGGGUGAAAGCCCAGAGCUCAACUCUGGAAUUGCCUUUAAAACUGCAUCGCUAGAAUUGUGGAGAGGUAAGUGGAAUUCCGAGUGUAGAGGUGAAAUUCGUAGAUAUUCGGAAGAACACCAGUGGCGAAGGCGACUUACUGGACACAUAUUGACGCUGAGGUGCGAAAGCGUGGGGAGCAAACAGG
This 253-nucleotide ribosomal RNA is filed under the name uncultured bacterium. Its description in RNAcentral is "partial 16S ribosomal RNA". It matches the Rfam family "Bacterial small subunit ribosomal RNA", at positions 524 to 776 of the family's 1533-position model. The record is from RNAcentral.